Molecule: long non-coding RNA, 1280 nt
Organism: Oryzias melastigma (Indian medaka)
Lineage: Eukaryota; Metazoa; Chordata; Actinopteri; Beloniformes; Adrianichthyidae
Exons: 4
Source: RefSeq, a predicted model, not a curated record
UUCACCCCGUGGUGUUUUUCCACAUUAAAACAAUUGGAACAUUAUAUCACACUGUAUGGUCACAUCUCUGCAAAAUUUCCACACAUUGACUCUAAUGAUGGAUUGAUCAUUUUUUGCUGCCAUCAUAUGUGUCUUCUCCACCGUGAUGGCACUUGGUCAUUCUUACGUUAUAGUCAAAUAAACCUUCUCUGUCUCAAUCCAAAUGGGAUCUUCCAGUAUUUAUGAAAUCAGUUUAUUUGAUUUUGAAAUAAAAUGACUUGCCUCGGAUAGAUCGAUCUGAUAGAAUCGAUUCAUCGAUUAAAUAAAUGGUAUUAAUUAAUAGACAUUGUAAGUGGAUAAAAAUACAAAGUAAGCAAAGUAAUACAAAGUAAUAGGACAAUGAUGAUAUAUUUUUUUCGGUCUGGUACUUCGUCUGUUUCUAAAGUGACUUGAAUGGUUUAAAUUGCUUGUUACCAGGUUACCAUACAAAAUGUUAUGUGUGACGAGAUCAUUUCGCAUUAAAAAUGUACACUGAACAUCAGGUGAAUCAUGGUUUUUCUAUUUGUGAUGGAGUAAACCUCUUUUUUACGUGCAGCACUUGAACGCAUCGCGCUUCUGAAGCUGAGACAGCGGAUUGUUUGACACGAGCGCCCCCAAGAGGACAGAAAUAUAGCUCAGAAUCGCGGGAUUCUUGUUUUUUCAGAACACCUGGUGCUUUUCUCUAGUUUAAACUACUACUGGGAAAAGUUAAAAAGAUCGAUGUCAUGUAAACAGAAGUAAAUACUUUAGAAAUUAUCAGAUUAGAAGUUGGUCACAUUGAACGUCCAGUUUCCUUUAAGAACAGAGUCCUGCGAGAACAUGACCCGAUGACGAAAUAUCUUCUCAUAAUAAACCUCGGGACUUUUUAUGGACGUGAAUGCACCUUAAAAGAACCAUUAAUCUGUCUAAAUGAACGACAGGGACACAGUGGUGAUCACAGGGUUCGGCCCGUUUAGAGAGUUCCUGGUGAAUCCCAGCUGGACAGCAGCUCAGGCGUUGAAGGAAGCUGGACUGGGGGAGAAGGUUGAUGUUCACAUCAGGGAGAUGCCCGUGAGUUACGUUAAGACCCAGCAGAUAAUCAGAGAACUCUAAAGGCUUCAACCAAAGUUUGCCGUCCACCUGGGUAUUGCCAGAGGUUCCAGGGUUUUCUUGUUGGAGCAAACUGGACGGAACAGGGGCUACAAGGACAGAGAUGUGUGCGGCUUCUGCCCCCAAAGCUGCGUGGAAGGAGGUCCAGAAAAACUGCACUCCGUCAUUAACAU